Molecule: ribosomal RNA, 1315 nt
Filed under: Gasterophilus pecorum
Lineage: Eukaryota; Metazoa; Arthropoda; Insecta; Diptera; Oestridae
Description: 16S ribosomal RNA
Rfam family: Archaeal large subunit ribosomal RNA (bases 1065-1224)
Source: RNAcentral
AUUUUAUUUAUUAGGUUUUGUUUUUGUUAUUUUAAAUUAUUAAAAAUAAUUGUUAAAUUAAUUGUUUUAGUAUUUUUUAAAGAAAAAAUAUUAUUAAUUAGAGUAUAUUGGUAUUGUGAAAGGUUAUUGAAAUAUAUUGAAAAAUUUUUGUUUUGAAAGAAGAUUUUGUUUAUUGUACCUUGUGUAUCAGGGUUUAUUAAUUAAAUAUUAGAGAGUUUAAUUUUCUCGAUUCCGUAAGAUUUAAUGUUCUAUUUAAGUUAGCGUGGUAAAGUUAUUUAUAAUAGAUUAUUAGAAAUGAAAUGUUAUUCGUUUUCGGAGUUAUCUAGUUUUUUAAGAAAUAAAUUGAAUUUAGGAUUAUUUUAUUAUUAAGUUGUUUCUUUAACUUGGUGGUUAAUUUAAUCUAAUACUUUAUGGGAUAAGCUAUGAAGUAUAUUGUUAAAAAUUGUUAUUGUUUGUAAAAGAUGUAGGCUUAGAAAUAGCUAUCAUUUGGGAGGAUGUUAUAAUUUAUUUUGCUAUUGUAAUAUUUAAUUAGGUUUUAAUUGUUUAUUAAAAUAUUUAUAGUAAUAGGAAUUGUUAAGUAAUAAUGAUAAAAUUAGUAUAUAAAAAUGUAUAAAUGAGUGGUGAUGAUAAGUUUUUGUAAGGAAUUCGGCAAAAUUAAGUGUCCGCCUGUUUAACAAAAACAUGUCCUUUUGAUUGAAUAUAAGGUCUAGCCUGCCCACUGAUAAUUAAAUGGCCGCAGUAUUUUAACUGUGCAAAGGUAGCAUAAUCAUUAGUCUUUUAAUUGGAGGCUGGUAUGAAUGGUUGGACGAGACACUGACUGUUUCAUGUGAAAUUGAAUUAGAAUUUUAUUUUUUAGUAAAAAAGCUGAAAUGUAUUUUAAAGACGAGAAGACCCUAUAAAUCUUUAUAGUUAGUUUAUUAUAGUUUUGUAGAUUUAUUAUGUUGUAAUAAUUGGUACUAUUUUGUUGGGGUGAUGUUAAAAUUUAUUAAACUUUUAAAUUUUGUUACAUUAAUUAAUGAUUGAAUGAUCCGUUAAUAACGAUUAUAAAAUUAAGUUACUUUAGGGAUAACAGCGUAAUUUUUUUGGAGAGUUCUUAUCGAUAAAAGGGAUUGCGACCUCGAUGUUGGAUUAAGAGAUAGGUUUAGGUGUAGCAGUUUAAAUUUUAAGUCUGUUCGACUUUUAAAUUCUUACAUGAUCUGAGUUCAAACCGGCGUGAGCCAGGUUGGUUUCUAUCUUUAAUAAGUUAGGAUAUUUUAGUACGAAAGGACCAAAUAUUUAAUAUAUUAAUAUUUUUAUUGAGAAUAUAAUUAAUUUA